GAGCAGGGUACUGAGCACAAGUUGCAUUUACUGGAAAUAUGAGGAACAAAUAAAAGGUACUAUCUUGGAAAAAGCCACAAUUAAAGGCUACUUGGAAUAUUUGUCUCACCUAAGAAGUUUUCGUAAUGAGAACAUGGACAGAAUUUCAAGGAUUUAAUUGGCUUUGGAUAUUAUUCACUCCUGGGCAUCUGCCUUCUCAACUUAAG
Long non-coding RNA from Sorex fumeus (smoky shrew), 206 nucleotides. RefSeq lists it as uncharacterized. The transcript has 3 exons. The record is from RefSeq and is a predicted model, not a curated record. Lineage: Eukaryota; Metazoa; Chordata; Mammalia; Eulipotyphla; Soricidae.